Dromaius novaehollandiae (emu) is the source of this 2261-nucleotide long non-coding RNA. RefSeq lists it as uncharacterized. The transcript is spliced from 3 exons. The record is from RefSeq and is a predicted model, not a curated record. NCBI's taxonomy places the organism in Eukaryota, Metazoa, Chordata, Aves, Casuariiformes, Dromaiidae.
AAAGAGUUUUAUUCCAAUGAUGAGUUUAGCCUGAGGAUUAUUUCAGGGUUAAGUGAUUUGCAGAGGAUUUCUUUCAAGGUCAGAUCUUCUAACACAGCACAUCCUGAUUAAUGAGUUUCUACAUAAAUCCAGGAUAGGAUGGUAUGUCACAACCGAAUGCAUCUAUCAGUGAAAUUGUUUGAGGAGUUCUAUCUAGUGAAGCUCCUACAUGCUUCCACAUGUGUCAUUCUACAUAGAUGAUCCAACAGUAAGAUGCUUGUCAUUACUUUGGGAGCUCCCUCAACUCAGAAGUUACGCCAGCUCCCGGCGGACAUGCUCCCGCCUGCCCUGCACCACCACGUGAUUCUGCCCCGCUGCCCAGCCCUGCGAACGUUCCCGGACAACAGCCACAAAACACCUUGUCUUCAGCUGGCUACCUCAAGCCUUGAGCUUUUCAUCUCCUGGAAGCUGUAAGAACAAACUACAAUCAAAGCUGAACUCUGGCUGCAAAUUUAUCACUAUUUGGGACAAUGAAGAAUGCAUAUUUCUCCAUGGAUGCAUGAGCUAGCAGCAGGGUAAAUUCCUCUUUCCAAUUACUAGACUCAAUUUACCUGUCCAGAACUAAAUGCAAGCCUGACUUCUGCUAUAGGAUUAUGUUGAUGGCUACAUGUAUAAAUAAUUCAGGGCAGUUUUUAGAGCCGUUAUAGAAAAAGCACGAACAAAAAAACAAUUCACAUUGCUGAACAUGUUAAAAAGCAAACAAAUACCAAGCAAACACAUUACAAUGAACUUGUUCUGCAAAUAGAAUCUGUUCUCCAAAGAUAUCCUGAAUGACUGAGUAGUCAUGCUUAUUUUUGUGCUAAUAACAACCUCCACAGAAUCAUUCAAAAUGAAAGACUAACAAAAUUUCAGGUUCCAGAUAUUAUCAUAUUUAAUAGUCCUCACGAGUAACAAUUUUAUAUUAUGCAUGCACCAACUAGAAACAUGCAUCUCAUCUCAAGGAUGCUUGGUGUAAGAAGGCAUUUGGUUAGUGUGCAUCAUGCCAAGACCCCAGAUUUGUACUAGCCAUUCGCAUGUGGCAGAGACUUGAAAAGAGCAGGUGAUGCUGAUAAAGAGCAGCCUAUGACAACUGUUACACCUUUGUCUGAAAGGGCAGUUUCUUUAUCAAGUCCAGCCAUAAAAUGAAGCUGAUCCCCACAAAGCUUCCGAAGAGUGAACUGGAGACACCACAAUCUUCCUUCUUUGUUUAAACUUUUGACUUGCAUAGAGAUCAACAUUUUAAUAGUUUGAGACCGCUUUGAAACAUAACAAAAACAUGCUGCAAAAACCCACUACUACCAGAAUGGCAGUGAACGUACUGCAGCGUACAAAUGAAUACAUCAGAAUGAAAGAACGUACUAAUUAAAGGGAUAAAACUCUUUAAAGAUAGAAUUUAUGUAUGAAGUGGAUAGGAGAAAUAAAGAAGAGGGAAACAGACCAAAACGUUAUUCUCAAUGGGAAAGAUUUACUAAGAUAGCAAACAUAACAGAGAAGUUUAUUGCUCUUCACAGUAACUUAAAUCCCUGUGAAGAACAUCUAGGCAAAUACAAGCAAAUCCUUAUAUGCUUUCCAUUCUUAAAAAAACAAACAAACAAACAAACCACCCCACACACAUUUUGAUGGCUUACACUGCCUUAUUCAUGCUUCUCAAACAAGCAAGCAGUGCUCAUAAAUGACUGCAAUAAGAAUGAGGUCUGCAUUAUGAUUUUGUAUUGAGCAGAGUUCUUAAUAAGGCAUAUUUCCAACAGGAGUUAGAGAAUUGAACAGUAAAAAACAAAGUAUGCAGAAAAUACCUCCUGUGGGGAGGAAAGGAGAAAGCACGCAUACCACAUAUAUUCCUGCAAUAGUAUAUGGCAUUGCUGGCUUUUAUUAGAAGUCCCACACUAUGAAACAGAUUUUUAGACGUUUUUUUAAAGUAGGAAGAGACAAGAUAGAAAAUUUGAUUCAAAGUCAGCUUAUCUGGCCAACACAGAAAUGCAAUGAGAAGUGACCGAUGACUGUACACCACACUGCCUACAAAAUAACUUGUAUAUGAGAGAACUCCUGCAGUGACAUAUUCUCUCUCUAGUCAUAUGCAUAGCUUCUGUAAAUGGGAAGCUUCCCUAUGGGAAAGGGUAGCAACUGACUAAAUAAUCUCAUCUUUACGUGAUUAUCUAUUGACUUUAUCAAUCCAUGUUACAUUUUGUGUAGAGGACAGAAAUAAAGUUAGCUAUUCCAUUCAAAAUAAAAUACAGGGCCCUCAA